This 805-nucleotide ribosomal RNA is filed under the name uncultured bacterium. RNAcentral describes it as "bacterial SSU rRNA". It matches the Rfam family "Bacterial small subunit ribosomal RNA", at positions 555 to 1361 of the family's 1533-position model. The record is from RNAcentral.
UGGGCGUAAGGGUACGCAGGCGGCUUUGUAAGUCAGAUGUGAAAGACUAUGGCUUAACUGUGGUAAGCGUUUGAAACUACAGAGCUUGAGUACAGGAUGGGAGAGUGGAAUUCCUAGUGUAGCGGUGAAAUGCGUAGAUAUUAGGAGGAAUACCAGUGGCGAAGGCGACUCUCUGGACUGUAACUGACGCUGAGGUACGAAAGCAUGGGGAGCAAACAGGAUUAGAUACCCUGGUAGUCCAUGCUAUAAACGAUGAGUGCUAGGUGUUGGGAGGGACACCUCUCGGUGCCGAAGUUAACACAUUAAGCACUCCGCCUGGGGAGUACGGUCGCAAGACUGAAACUCAAAGGAAUUGACGGGGACCCGCACAAGCAGCGGAGCAUGUGGUUUAAUUCGAUGCAACGCGAAGAACCUUACCAGGGCUUGACAUCCUUCAGCCAGGGCUAGAGAUAGCCCCUUCCCUUCGGGGACUGAGGAGACAGGUGGUGCAUGGUUGUCGUCAGCUCGUGUCGUGAGAUGUUGGGUUAAGUCCCGCAACGAGCGCAACCCUUGUCUUUAGUUGCAAACAGCUAGGCUGUGCACUCUAAAGAGACUGCCGAUGACAAAUCGGAGGAAGGUGGGGAUGACGUCAAAUCAUCAUGCCCUUUAUGUCCUGGGCUACACACGUGCUACAAUGGUCGGUACAACGGGAAGCGACCUCGUGAGAGUGAGCAAAUCCUAUAAAGCCGAUCUCAGUUCGGAUUGUAGGCUGCAAUUCGCCUACAUGAAGCCGGAGUUGCUAGUAAUCGCGGAUCAGCAUGCCGUG